Molecule: small nuclear RNA, 107 nt
Filed under: Monodon monoceros (narwhal)
Lineage: Eukaryota; Metazoa; Chordata; Mammalia; Artiodactyla; Monodontidae
Source: RNAcentral
GUGCUUGCUUCGGCAGCACAUAUACUAAAACUGGAACGAUACAGAGACGAUUAGCAUGGCCCCCGUGCAAGGACAGCACGCAAAUUCGUGAAGCAUUUCAUAUUUUU